GAUGAACGCUAGCGGCAGGCCUAAUACAUGCAAGCCGGACGGCAAGUUGAGUAGCAAUACUUGACCUAGAGUGGCGUAAGGGUGCGUAACACGUAUGCAAUCUGCCCACAGCCGGGAGAUAGCCCUCCGAAAGGAGGAUUAAUAUCCCAUAGGAAGAUGAGAUGGCAUCAUUUUAUUUUUAAACUACGGGGCUGUGGAUGAGCAUGCGGUUGAUUAGCUAGUUGGCGGGUAAGCCACCAAGGCGAUGAUCAAUAGGGGACCUGAGAGGUGAUCCCCCACACUGGCACUGAGAUACGGGCCAGACUCCUACGGGAGGCAGCAGUA
Molecule: ribosomal RNA, 324 nt
Filed under: uncultured bacterium
Lineage: Bacteria
Description: bacterial SSU rRNA
Rfam family: Bacterial small subunit ribosomal RNA
Source: RNAcentral